RNAcentral lists this ribosomal RNA (1525 nucleotides) under Parabacteroides distasonis. Its description in RNAcentral is "bacterial SSU rRNA". It matches the Rfam family "Bacterial small subunit ribosomal RNA". Lineage: Bacteria; Pseudomonadati; Bacteroidota; Bacteroidia; Bacteroidales; Tannerellaceae. The record is from RNAcentral.
ACAACGAAGAGUUUGAUCCUGGCUCAGGAUGAACGCUAGCGACAGGCUUAACACAUGCAAGUCGAGGGGCAGCGGGGGUAGCGAUACCCGCCGGCGACCGGCGCACGGGUGAGUAACGCGUAUGCAACUUGCCUAUCAGAGGGGGAUAACCCGGCGAAAGUCGGACUAAUACCGCAUGAAGCAGGGAUCCCGCAUGGGAAUAUUUGCUAAAGAUUCAUCGCUGAUAGAUAGGCAUGCGUUCCAUUAGGCAGUUGGCGGGGUAACGGCCCACCAAACCGACGAUGGAUAGGGGUUCUGAGAGGAAGGUCCCCCACAUUGGUACUGAGACACGGACCAAACUCCUACGGGAGGCAGCAGUGAGGAAUAUUGGUCAAUGGGCGCGAGCCUGAACCAGCCAAGUCGCGUGAGGGAUGAAGGUUCUAUGGAUCGUAAACCUCUUUUAUAAGGGAAUAAAGUGCGGGACGUGUCCCGUUUUGUAUGUACCUUAUGAAUAAGGAUCGGCUAACUCCGUGCCAGCAGCCGCGGUAAUACGGAGGAUCCGAGCGUUAUCCGGAUUUAUUGGGUUUAAAGGGUGCGUAGGCGGCCUUUUAAGUCAGCGGUGAAAGUCUGUGGCUCAACCAUAGAAUUGCCGUUGAAACUGGGAGGCUUGAGUAUGUUUGAGGCAGGCGGAAUGCGUGGUGUAGCGGUGAAAUGCUUAGAUAUCACGCAGAACCCCGAUUGCGAAGGCAGCCUGCCAAGCCAUGACUGACGCUGAUGCACGAAAGCGUGGGGAUCAAACAGGAUUAGAUACCCUGGUAGUCCACGCAGUAAACGAUGAUCACUAGCUGUUUGCGAUACAUUGUAAGCGGCACAGCGAAAGCGUUAAGUGAUCCACCUGGGGAGUACGCCGGCAACGGUGAAACUCAAAGGAAUUGACGGGGGCCCGCACAAGCGGAGGAACAUGUGGUUUAAUUCGAUGAUACGCGAGGAACCUUACCCGGGUUUGAACGCAUUCGGACCGAGGUGGAAACACCUUUUCUAGCAAUAGCCGUUUGCGAGGUGCUGCAUGGUUGUCGUCAGCUCGUGCCGUGAGGUGUCGGCUUAAGUGCCAUAACGAGCGCAACCCUUGCCACUAGUUACUAACAGGUAAAGCUGAGGACUCUGGUGGGACUGCCAGCGUAAGCUGCGAGGAAGGCGGGGAUGACGUCAAAUCAGCACGGCCCUUACAUCCGGGGCGACACACGUGUUACAAUGGCGUGGACAAAGGGAAGCCACCUGGCGACAGGGAGCGAAUCCCCAAACCACGUCUCAGUUCGGAUCGGAGUCUGCAACCCGACUCCGUGAAGCUGGAUUCGCUAGUAAUCGCGCAUCAGCCAUGGCGCGGUGAAUACGUUCCCGGGCCUUGUACACACCGCCCGUCAAGCCAUGGGAGCCGGGGGUACCUGAAGUCCGUAACCGCGAGGAUCGGCCUAGGGUAAAACUGGUGACUGGGGCUAAGUCGUAACAAGGUAGCCGUACCGGAAGGUGCGGCUGGAACACCUCCUUU